UACGGAGGAGGCAAGCGUUAUCCGGAAUUAUUGGGCGUAAAGCGUCCGCAGGUGGCACUUCAAGUCUGUCGUCAAAGACUGGGGCUUAACCCUAGAAAGGCGGUGGAAACUGAAGCGCUAGAGUGCGGUAGGGGUAGAGGGAAUUCCCGGUGUAGCGGUGAAAUGCGUAGAGAUCGGGAAGAACAUCGGUGGCGAAAGCGCUCUACUGGACCGCAACUGACACUCAGGGACGAAAGCUAGGGGAGCGAAUGGG
Molecule: ribosomal RNA, 253 nt
Filed under: uncultured bacterium
Lineage: Bacteria
Description: partial 16S ribosomal RNA
Rfam family: Bacterial small subunit ribosomal RNA
Source: RNAcentral